Molecule: ribosomal RNA, 731 nt
Filed under: uncultured marine bacterium
Lineage: Bacteria
Description: bacterial SSU rRNA
Rfam family: Bacterial small subunit ribosomal RNA
Source: RNAcentral
UGACCUGGCUCAGAACGAACGCUGGCGGCAGGCCUAACACAUGCAAGUCGAGCGCGCCUUCGGGUGAGCGGCGGACGGGUUAGUAACGCGUGGGAACGUGCCCUUCUCUACGGGAUAGCCUCUGGAAACGGAGAGUAAUACCGUAUACGCCCUUUGGGGGAAAGAUUUAUCGGAGAAGGAUCGGCCCGCGUUAGAUUAGGUAGUUGGUGGGGUAACGGCCUACCAAGCCUACGAUCUAUAGCUGGUUUUAGAGGAUGAUCAGCAACACUGGGACUGAGACACGGCCCAGACUCCUACGGGAGGCAGCAGUGGGGAAUCUUAGACAAUGGGGGCAACCCUGAUCUAGCCAUGCCGCGUGAGUGAUGAAGGCCUUAGGGUCGUAAAGCUCUUUCGCCUGUGAUGAUAAUGACAGUAGCAGGUAAAGAAACCCCGGCUAACUCCGUGCCAGCAGCCGCGGUAAUACGGAGGGGGUUAGCGUUGUUCGGAAUUACUGGGCGUAAAGCGCGCGUAGGCGGAUUAGAAAGUUGGGGGUGAAAUCCCGGGGCUCAACCCCGGAACUGCCUCCAAAACUGCUAGUCUAGAGUUCGAGAGAGGUGAGUGGAAUUCCGAGUGUAGAGGUGAAAUUCGUAGAUAUUCGGAGGAACACCAGUGGCGAAGGCGGCUCACUGGCUCGAUACUGACGUUGAGGUGCGAAAGUGUGGGGAGCAAACAGGAUUAGAUACCCUGGUAGU